UACGUAGGUGGCAAGCGUUGUCCGGAAUUAUUGGGCGUAAAGCGCGCGCAGGCGGUCCCUUAAGUCUGAUGUGAAAGCCCACGGCUCAACCGUGGAGGGUCAUUGGAAACUGGGGGACUUGAGUGCAGGAGAGGGGAGCGGAAUUCCAUGUGUAGCGGUGAAAUGCGUAGAGAUAUGGAGGAACACCAGUGGCGAAGGCGGCUCUCUGGCCUGUAACUGACGCUGAGGCGCGAAAGCGUGGGGAGCGAACAGG
Molecule: ribosomal RNA, 253 nt
Filed under: uncultured bacterium
Lineage: Bacteria
Description: partial 16S ribosomal RNA
Rfam family: Bacterial small subunit ribosomal RNA
Source: RNAcentral